AUUGAACGCUGGCGGCAUGCCUUACACAUGCAAGUCGAACGGCAGCGCGGACUUCGGUCUGGCGGCGAGUGGCGAACGGGUGAGUAAUACAUCGGAACGUACCCUGUUGUGGGGGAUAACUAGUCGAAAGAUUAGCUAAUACCGCAUACGACCUGAGGGUGAAAGGGGGGGACAGCAAGGCCUCACGCCGAAGGAACGGCCGAUGUCUGAUUAGCUCGUUGGUGGGGUAAAGGCCCACCAAGGCGACGAUCAGUAGCUGGUCUGAGAGGACGAUCAGCCACACUGGGACUGAGACACGGCCCAGACUCCUACGGGAGGCAGCAGUGGGGAAUUUUGGACAAUGGGGGCAACCCUGAUCCAGCAAUGCCGCGUGUGUGAAGAAGGCCUUCGGGUUGUAAAGCACUUUUGUCCGGAAAGAAAUCGCGCUGGUCAAUACCUGGCGUGGAUGACGGUACCGGAAGAAUAAGCACCGGCUAACUACGUGCCAGCAGCCGCCGUAA
Molecule: ribosomal RNA, 500 nt
Filed under: uncultured bacterium
Lineage: Bacteria
Description: partial 16S ribosomal RNA
Rfam family: Bacterial small subunit ribosomal RNA
Source: RNAcentral